CGUGCUCGGACCCCCCCGCGGCUUCCGGUUUCAAAAUUAAAAGCAUGAGCAAUCCCGGUGACAUCCGCUCACGCUUCAUAAUAAAACGCGAUAUUUUGGAAAAGAGUUAACUUGGGAUGGAGUUUUAAAAUCGAGUUAGGGCUCUAAACUUAGUGACAGAUAGUUUAUAUAUGGGUAGUUUCUCAAAAUAGUUUUGAUAACCAAUCAGAUUUGCGACAGCUCACAGGUAUCACGUUCGUGUCCUGAUUGGAUACGCACUAAUUAGAUACCUGGCAAACGGAAGCUGCUGUCCCGUUGGCGACUUGAACGAGCGAAAACGAUCAUUUGUGGAGAUCUCGCUGGAUGUUUAUUUAUUUAUUUUUUCAACCCACAAGGUGGAGAAGUAAUUGAUCGCCAUUUUCAAGACGGACAUUUCGAGAAAAAGUGGCUAUUGCGAGAUUAGUCGUCCAGCUCCCGCGCUAGCUAACAUCGCAUGCCGUAAGCGGUUCCGGACCAGUUGAGUUCAGAAGGCGGAAACCCGGUGAGACGGUCCAAGCCACCACAUCGGGCAAGGCACCCUCACCGAUGCCGGGAAGAGUCGGGAGAAGUAGAUUUCCCAGGUGUCCGUGGCGGCGGCGACGAUGCGUUUCUUCACGUGUUCCUCCACCGGAUCCGUGUUGGGUUGCACCCCGUGUUCAUCUGUGAGUCCCACGCACACAUGCGUCAGGAGUGUGUUAAAGCGUGUGUAAAAGUGGCGUGGGAAGAAGAGAGAGACUUGACUACCAAAGAGAGCUUUCAUCCGCUGCCUUUCAUCGCGGCGGAUGCGGACGCACGCCUCUGACAGG
Syngnathus typhle (broad-nosed pipefish) is the source of this 824-nucleotide long non-coding RNA. RefSeq lists it as uncharacterized. NCBI's taxonomy places the organism in Eukaryota, Metazoa, Chordata, Actinopteri, Syngnathiformes, Syngnathidae. The transcript is spliced from 3 exons. The record is from RefSeq and is a predicted model, not a curated record.